Molecule: ribosomal RNA, 467 nt
Filed under: uncultured bacterium
Lineage: Bacteria
Description: partial 16S ribosomal RNA
Rfam family: Bacterial small subunit ribosomal RNA
Source: RNAcentral
GACGAACGCUGGCGGCGUGCUUAACACAUGCAAGUCGAACGGAAAGGCCCUGCUUUUGUGGGGUGCUCGAAUGGCGAACGGGUGAGUAACACGUGAGUAACCUGCCCUUGACUUUGGGAUAACUUCAGGAAACUGGGGCUAAUACCGGAUAGGAGCUCCUGCUGCAUGGUGGGGGUUGGAAAGUUUCGGCGGUUGGGGAUGGACUCGCGGCUUAUCAGCUUGUUGGUGGGGUAGUGGCUUACCAAGGCUUUGACGGGUAGCCGGCCUGAGAGGGUGACCGGCCACAUUGGGACUGAGAUACGGCCCAGACUCCUACGGGAGGCAGCAGUGGGGAAUAUUGCACAAUGGGCGGAAGCCUGAUGCAGCAACGCCGCGUGCGGGAUGACGGCCUUCGGGUUGUAAACCGCUUUCGCCUGUGACGAAGCGUGAGUGACGGUAAUGGGGAAAGAAGCACCGGCUAACUACGU